This 352-nucleotide long non-coding RNA is filed under the name Hordeum vulgare. RNAcentral describes it as "long non-coding RNA (HVUL_LNC003066)". The record is from RNAcentral. Lineage: Eukaryota; Viridiplantae; Streptophyta; Magnoliopsida; Poales; Poaceae.
UCAGUUUCUAACGGAGCAGCCAACCAGCUAAUGGUUGUGGGGGGCGGCUAUUUAUAGCAUGGGAGCAUCCCGACAUGAUUUGACAUUAAUAUUCUUAAAUAAUAUGAGCGUUGGUGUGGAUAAGACCAAUGAUGUGGCGCGACUUGCGGUAACGGUCGGGACCCUCAACUGUGAGAGUCAUCAUGUCUCUCAUAUUCCUCACUUGAGGCUUUUGGUAGGAUUAGGCUUGGGUUGAGUAUCAUGAGGAACUUCAUUCCAACGUGUUAUUUUGACCCCCUUUAACAGUACGGUGUUCCUAUGACUCAAGAGUGAAGAAAAUAAAACAAACAGAAUAAAUCUUCAUGCUUCAAAA